UUAGUUGAAACCAAAAUUAGAGGUUUUCCACUGUUAAUGGAAAAAGUGGGAUUUCCCCCAACUAAA
RNAcentral lists this transfer RNA (66 nucleotides) under Pityogenes trepanatus. Its description in RNAcentral is "tRNA-Asn". The record is from RNAcentral. Lineage: Eukaryota; Metazoa; Arthropoda; Insecta; Coleoptera; Curculionidae.